Anser cygnoides (Swan goose) is the source of this 2260-nucleotide long non-coding RNA. Lineage: Eukaryota; Metazoa; Chordata; Aves; Anseriformes; Anatidae. The record is from Ensembl.
CUAAACAGGAGAGGUUUUACCCCAAAACAUCGGUACGGCGCUCACCCCUCCUCACACUCGGCGCUGGGCGCUCCGGAGAGCGGCGGCCUCCGCUCUGAGGGUGGGGGGAUCCCACCCCAACCCUCUCCCUCCCAGAAUGCGGGGUUCAAAUCACGAGCACCCCAUGGCGCCGGGCAGCUCCUCAGCGCGUCCGGGUGCCAACGCGAGGCGGGCGCUCGGCACGGGCUGCGGCGUUCCUCCUGGAAUUAAAGAGAGAGCUGCGUUAGUCACAGGAAUGGGCCAAGCUUGGUCAAAUCGUGGUUUUUUUCUUUUUUUACGAACAGUGAGGCCGCCCCAGGGCCACCUUUCUUUCCUGGGAAACCCGCCGUGAGGCUGCAGGCCCAAGUUUCCCCCCCACACACCCCGCAGCACGUUUCCUCGCCCCGCAGCCACGGCCCCGCAACUUCCGCACUUCUCCUCGGCCCAGGAGCCAGCCGUGCCCCGACCACCGCCCCCCUCCUGCGGGGCAGAGCAGGCGGCUCUGGUGCCAACGUCCCUUCCAAGCCGCAAUGCUGCCGCUCACGCAGGGCGUGAUGGGUUCGGGUGGCGUCAGAGGGCCCCAAGGCUCGCCUUACCUCCGCGGGAUCCGGGCACAGCGUGAUUCGGGGGCUCAGAUCACUGCCCACGGCUUGGCGGGCGGCUUUACAGCUGCGAUACUGGCACGGGAUCCGGGCACAGCGUGAUUCGGGGGCUCAGAUCACUGCCCACGGCUUGGCGGGCGGCUUUACAGCUGCGAUACUGGCACGGGAGGAACCUCGCGAGGCCAAGGCAGGGCUGGAGCCACCGCUCCUCCCUCCGCCCAGCGCAUCGUGGUACAAGAGGUGCAGAAAUCGGGAGUUAAAGCCCUGCGGGAGAAGAGUCACAGUUAAAGGAGGCAGCAAAGCCCCAGCAGACACCGCAGGCAAGGCAAGAGCCGCUCAAAUGUGUCCCAAGACUUCGACGGCCUCCCCACGGGGUGCAGGGGGAGGCCCCAGAGCUCCUGGGGGUGCUCUGGCAAGCGCUGCAGGAAUGGACGGGGCCACUGCAGACCCCACCACGCUGGAAGGCUUGCGGCCGCUGGAGCCUUGUGGGUGCUGUCACGGCAAGAAACGCCGUGCUUGGCAAACCACGGGCGCUCUGUGCAACAGGCAGACCUCGCAGGGAAGCCCCACGUGGCGGCAGCUCGGUGCCUCGCCACCACGAGGUACGGGCAGAGCAAGGGGCAAAACGGGAACACGCUGAGGAGAGCCCUCGUGGGGUGCAGGGCCUCGAACCCUACAGCAUCAGCUGAGCCUCCCUGUUACCUGCCGGGGCACAAAGCAGCCCCAGGCUGUGGUUUUCCUGCAGGGACUCGUUUGGUGGCCCCAAAGAGACCACGAGGUCUUUAAGACCUCAUCGUUCAGGCCUGACAGCGCAGAGCCAGACUAACUGGUGUCAUGGGGUGCAGAAGGAAGGGCCCACAGGGCGGCCCCGCUAACUUACCCGCUGGGUCCGCGCAGCUUCAGACGCCCUCCACGGCCGCCGGAGGGGAGGCUGCGACCUGGGGAGAAGCAGCACGGCGUUAGGAGAGGGAAGGGAUGGGAAAGGGGGGGCUCUGCAGGCCCAGUGGGAACGGGUGAACCCCCCCCAGCCCCCUGCCCCCAUCUCCCACCCUCGCAGAGGCCGGGGCCGUGUGUGGGAUUUCUAUAGCCUCCCCCCGAGGGGCGCAGGGGGAGGCCUCAAACCACCCCGGGGCUGCUCUGGCAAGCGCUGCAGGAACGGCCGGGGCCACCGCAGGCCCCACCAUGCUGGACGGCUUGCGGGGGUUGGGGGGGGGGGGCAGGCUGGGGCCUCACACGGACCCCGGGCGCAGGCCGCAGCUCCGCAUCCCGGCACGGACGCCGUAACGAAACCCAUCCGGGGCAAAUCCCGUCACCGCGCGGCGCCCUCACCCCUCCUGCGGCCCUCAGGGGCGGCUCCGGCGGCGGAUGGCGGCGGAUGGCGGCGGAUGGCGGCGGAUGGCGAGGGGCCCUACCUCCCUCCACGGCCGCCAUGGCUACGAGAGCGCCGCGGCGCGUGACGUCAGCGCGCUGCGGCGGGCGUCGGCGAGCGAGGGGGCGUGGUCACGCACGGGAGGGCGUGGUUAUGCAAAUCGAGCGGGCGUGGCCCCGCCCUUCCCGGCGGAGGAGGACUGACGUCAGUCCUCCGCGGCCGCCGCGCGGGGCACGCCGGGAAGGCGCCGCCCAAGAUGGCGGCGGGCUGG